This 398-nucleotide ribosomal RNA is filed under the name uncultured bacterium. Its description in RNAcentral is "bacterial SSU rRNA". It matches the Rfam family "Bacterial small subunit ribosomal RNA", at positions 355 to 770 of the family's 1533-position model. The record is from RNAcentral.
UCGGGAAUUUUGGGCAAUGGGCGAAAGCCUGACCCAGCAACGCCGCGUGAGGGAUGAAGUAUUUCGGUAUGUAAACCUCGAAAGAAUGGGAAGAAUAAAUGACGGUACCAUUUAUAAGCUCCGGCUAACUACGUGCCAGCAGCCGCGGUAAUACGUAGGGAGCAAGCGUUGUUCGGAUUUACUGGGCGUAAAGGGCGCGUAGGCGGCGCGGUAAGUCACUUGUGAAAUCUCUGAGCUUAACUCAGAACGGCCAAGUGAUACUGCUGGGCUAGAGUGCGGAAGAGGCAACCGGAAGUCUUGGUGUAGCGGUGAAAUGCGUAGAUAUCAAGAGGAACACCUGAGGCGAAGGCGGGUUGCUGGGCCGACACUGACGCUGAUGCGCGAAAGCCAGGGGAGCA